Molecule: ribosomal RNA, 511 nt
Filed under: Nicotiana attenuata
Lineage: Eukaryota; Viridiplantae; Streptophyta; Magnoliopsida; Solanales; Solanaceae
Description: rRNA SSU_rRNA_eukarya
Rfam family: Eukaryotic small subunit ribosomal RNA
Source: RNAcentral
AAGUUGUUGUAGUUAAAAAUCUCGUAGUUAGACUUUGGGAUGGGCCGGCCGAUCCGCCUUAGGUGUGCACCGGUCGUCUCGUCCCUUCUACCGGUGAUGCGCUCCUGGCCUUAAUUGGCUGGGUCGUGCCUCCGGCGUUGUUACUUUGAAGAAAUUAGAGUGCUCAAAGCUAGCCUACGCUCUGUAUACAUUAGCAUGGGAUAACAUUAUAGGAUUUCUAUCCUAUUACGUUGGCCUUCGGGAUCGGAGUAAUGAUUUACAGGGACAGUCGGGGGCAUUCGUAUUUCAUAGUCAGAGGUGAAAUUCUUGGAUUUAUGAAAGACGAAUGACUGCGAAUGCAUAUUCCAAGGAUGUUUUCAUUAAUCAAGAACGAAAGUUGGGGGCUCGAAGACAAUCAGAUACCGUCCUAGUCUCAACCAUAAACGAUGCUGACCAGGGAUUGGCGGAUGUUGGCAUGUUGCUUUUAGAACUCCGCCGGCACCUUAUGAGAAAUCAAAGUUUUUAGGUUCCG